CCUCAAAGAUGUAAUGCUCAGUGAAGAUGUACCUCCACCAUUGGAGUUCAGCAAAAAACGUUCUCGCUCUGUAAAAAUUGUGAAACGGGAUUCUCGAUCCAUUAGAACGAAAUUGACCAUUGGAGGUGCUGCGGAAAAAAUUGUAUCAGCAUUUCACUUGGUGGUCAGUGAACAUCUCACUGAAGAAGCAGAGAUGAGUAAUUGUAAGUCUGCAGUCAACCGUGUGAGGAAGAUGGA
Molecule: unclassified non-coding RNA, 237 nt
Filed under: Hevea brasiliensis (rubber tree)
Lineage: Eukaryota; Viridiplantae; Streptophyta; Magnoliopsida; Malpighiales; Euphorbiaceae
Source: RNAcentral